RNAcentral lists this ribosomal RNA (496 nucleotides) under uncultured bacterium. Its description in RNAcentral is "partial 16S ribosomal RNA". It matches the Rfam family "Bacterial small subunit ribosomal RNA", at positions 36 to 507 of the family's 1533-position model. The record is from RNAcentral.
AUUCCCUCUUUCUUCGUGCCUAAUACAUGCAAGUCGAGCGAACAGACGAGGAGCUUGCUCCUCUGACGUUAGCGGCGGACGGGUGAGUAACACGUGGAUAACCUACCUAUAAGACUGGGAUAACUUCGGGAAACCGGAGCUAAUACCGGAUAAUAUAUUGAACCGCAUGGUUCAAUAGUGAAAGACGGUUUUGCUGUCACUUAUAGAUGGAUCCGCGCCGCAUUAGCUAGUUGGUAAGGUAACGGCUUACCAAGGCAACGAUGCGUAGCCGACCUGAGAGGGUGAUCGGCCACACUGGAACUGAGACACGGUCCAGACUCCUACGGGAGGCAGCAGUAGGGAAUCUUCCGCAAUGGGCGAAAGCCUGACGGAGCAACGCCGCGUGAGUGAUGAAGGUCUUCGGAUCGUAAAACUCUGUUAUUAGGGAAGAACAAAUGUGUAAGUAACUAUGCACGUCUUGACGGUACCUAAUCAGAAAGCCACGGCUAACUACGUG